Molecule: ribosomal RNA, 240 nt
Filed under: Triticum aestivum (bread wheat)
Lineage: Eukaryota; Viridiplantae; Streptophyta; Magnoliopsida; Poales; Poaceae
Description: partial small subunit ribosomal RNA
Source: RNAcentral
AUGAAGCUUCUUCCUCUGUUUGUCCUUGCCAUGGUAAUGGUUAAUGCUUGCGCCGUGUCUUCUCGCACCGCGCCGAGGGACCAUGUACUAGAUGGAGUAGUGAAGAUGGCAGCGACGGGAGAGGGGACGGCGAUCGACAAUCACCAUGCGAUACCAAGGACAGAGUAUAGCAGCUGGAGCAGCCCUGGAAACAUGCCCGGAAGUGGCCAUGACAUUGCUAGCGAAGAAGCCAAACCAUAA